AUGUGGAAGGCAGUGCUCCUGGUUUUAUACGCAGUAUGGGCUGUAAGAGGAUUGGCAAAGGGUGCUCCUUUCCAACCAGAAGAAAAAUGGAAACCUUUAGAUAACCCUAGAAACCGAGACCUGUUUUUCAGAACGCUCCAGGCUUAUUUUUCGGGCAGGGGUCUUGAUCUCAGAAAGUUCCCAGCUACUUUCACGGUGAACAAUGAAGGACCAAGGCCCGUCAUGUUCUACUCAGAUCCUAUUGCUUCUGCAUUUGCAGAUUAUGAAGAAAGGAAAAAUUCUUUUCCGAAUUAUUUCAAAGGCUGAGAGAUAAUGCUGACCAAGGUAAAAGAGGGUGUCUUUUCCUGUAAUGUAAUCAAGUGAAAGCUCUGGUUGAAGUGAUUCUCAUUUCUGUAUAAAACAUAAAAGCAGCUUGUUCUUGAGAAGAAAUUAAUAACGUGCACCUUAACUCUUGCCUGAAACUGUUUUAAUACCAUUAAAAUAGAGAUUUAURAGGAAUUUACUACUUCUGUGAAAUAACACAUGGUGAUUGUGCAGUAAGUAGUAAUAUGCAGACAGAUCUAUAUAGACUAUGCUUUUUACCUGGAGAUGAAUGCUGAAAAUGUACAGAUAAUAGAGAAUGUAGAAGAUUUUACUUAAGUAAUUAGUAAAAUUACAAAUUGAGACUAUUGGUUUCUCAUGAUAUACAGAUAUUAAGAAAAUUAAUUUAGACUUAAAAUAYUGCACUAACAAAGCAUACUUUAGCUUUUACAUCUUUGCACACGCAUGUUGUUUUCUAUAUUCUUACCACUAAAAUUGAAGGUUGAAUGAAAUGAUUUCAAACUGAUUCACAUUUCUUCAUAAAUAUGAAAUAAAUUCAGAUGGAUCAAGCUUGUAUUAUUCA
This 883-nucleotide long non-coding RNA is filed under the name Dromaius novaehollandiae (emu). RNAcentral describes it as "lncRNA (ENSDNVG00000002993.1)". The record is from RNAcentral. Lineage: Eukaryota; Metazoa; Chordata; Aves; Casuariiformes; Dromaiidae.